Long non-coding RNA from Bombus pascuorum, 3220 nucleotides. RefSeq lists it as uncharacterized. NCBI's taxonomy places the organism in Eukaryota, Metazoa, Arthropoda, Insecta, Hymenoptera, Apidae. The record is from RefSeq and is a predicted model, not a curated record. The transcript has 2 exons.
CGACACUCGAAUUUGCAUCGUUCAUGAUUCUAAAAGAAGCCUUGAAUUUUCACACGUACGCAGUUUUCGCCUAUCGCGAUUUGUUUUAAUUAAAGCAAAAUGCCUAAUUUACAUAUUCUGCACUAUAGGAAAUACGCUUUAUACAAGGCACAACGGUUCGAUACAAAAUCUGUCUAAAGGAAAAAAAAUCAAUACGAGAACGGUUAUAGUAUUUAAAACGACCGAAUUAUAUACCAAAUUAUAAACUUUCUCCUUGUUUUUCUCCAUGUUGCAAAUAACCGUACGAGCAGUUGAUGCAAUUGUAAACGAUAUAGGAUUAAAGAAAGAUGUUAUAUUUGAAGAGAACAAAGAAGAAACAGACAAUAAAAUGGCAGAGAAUCGGUUUAAAAAUUUCAACGGCCAUUUCCAUAUAGCUAUAGCAUGGACAAGUGUAUUUGAUAUAAAAUGAUUUGUGUCCUCGCGAAAGUGUUACGUAAAUGAAAGCUAUAAAGCAUUAAGAAGCUGUGAUCGUGAUGUAAACACUGAGAAAUUGCUCUAACCACGCAUCUUUGUGAUUGACAAAAAAAAAAUCGUUAAAUAUUGCAUUCCAUUCACAAAGUCGGGAUAUGCUUGGUCGACAAAGGAGCACAAAAAUAAGCAGCUCUGUGACACUGCGCUCCACGCGAGGCCAAAAACCUUUUCGUUGUUCAUGUCCGUCCAACGAGGCAAUGUUUGUAUCAAGGGCUACUUUGUGCAUUAUUGGAGGAAUUGCAACUCCGACUAACCAACACGUCGCAGCUCAAUGUCACUCAGCUCUGCGCGGAUGAUUCACAUUUGGUAUAAUAAUGGCGAGAUCGACAUGUUAUUUCCUCUAACGUGCAACUACAGCAGCAGCUUUUGAACUUACGUUUAAUGUUUCGACAUAUUGUUCCACGCUAGCCAUUAGUCCGUACUUAAUCUUGUAAGCCACGCGCUGUAGUAGCUUUUUUCAAUAACAGGGGUAGAGGGACAAGCCUACCUUGUCACCCGAGGUUUAUGCAAUUUUUAGAGUUAGUUGUUUCGAGACGUUACCUCACUAAACAAAUAUUUGCUGGCAACGAUCUCGUACUUUAGGAAGAAAGUGACAGUUCCCGAUGCGGUGUUAUUAUCUGGUGGCUUCGAGAAAUCAUGUUCAUGGUCGAGCGGUUGAAUACAGUAAUGUUGCGUUAACUGGUCAGAAUUUUGCUAGCCAUUGUUAUCCCUGGCCAAUUCUUCGAACUGAUUUCGUAGUGCGAUUCUCUGGACUCUCUUGCACAAUAAUUUAUAAACUAAUAAUAUUAGUUAGUAAUAUUAAUGAAUCGACAAUUUUCAAAUUGUAAAUUGUGUGUGUGUGUGUGUGUUGUGCAUAGACUCCUUAUUUAUAUUAUUAAACUAAAUGUGUAAGAGUUUAUUUGGUUUACAAGGAAAUAUUACCAAGGUCUUUGGAAUUUUAUUUAAAAUAGUACACUAUGUGAAAAAUUACUUAAACAGUCUGAUUCUCUCUAAUUCUAUCUUUUCUUUGUUCCAAACAUCUGUUCAAAAAUAUCUCGCACUCAACAAGGAAGAGAGAUACUCGAGAUUUUGUAAAAAUAUACCUCCCUCAAUAACUGGACAGAUAAGGUCCCAACCCGUGGCCAGUUAGCGAAGCACUACUGUAGCCAUACGGGAAACAUCGUACAUCGUAAAGUGACCAUCAUAUCGUAGCGUGACGCGCGCACUAAUAAUCUAAGUUGAUGCUUACACUGGCAUGAAAUUAAUCUUGCACGCAAAGGAGGUUACCAAUAUAUAUAUAAAUAUACAUAUAUAUAUCAUAUGUCGUGUUAUCAAGAUUAUCGACAAUGUACAUGAAAUCUCGAUUAAUCGAUUGUCAUUUAACGAUGACCGUCUCCACGAAAAUCACCAAACAAUCGAAUUACAGCGAACACAAAUAAGAGAGCUGGCGAAAGGAGGCGGGGCGAUGAGGCAGGAGGGCACUAAGUAAACAUUCUGAAGAUGAUCUCGAGUCGAUGUAUAACAGUGGUGGAAACACUCGAAGAAUCAGCACCGAUAAAAGGGAUAGGUAGAUGGAAGGAGAAUGGUACCACUGGUAUAUAACGUCGAUCACGCGAGAGUUACUGCUACAACAUGCUGCAUUCCACUGGGUGUUCUCUGUGCUCGUCUCUACGCACGAGUACAUUUAUGAAUUAAUUAGAUAAUAACCAACGACAAUUAGCGUUGAAGGCACGAUACAUGAAAACACCAUCUGCUUCUGAUCUCUGCGGAAAAAUUAGCAGGCAGAAGCAACGACACGAUACCGUUUUAUAAAAUACAAUCAAUUCGUAGUAUUUGACGAAAUAAUAGCGACGCAAGAAUUCUAUUUACUGAAAUAAAAUAUGUAUUAUACGAAUGAUUUGUCAGCCGACGAGUACUAUAGUAAUUUCUUUGUCUCGAUCUAAAAUAAGGUUGAGCUCAAAAUAAUUACGAAUCAAUCGAUUUGAACAACAACGAUCGCGCAUCGUUUUUUCGAACUUCCAAUUAUAAAGCUUUCGAAAGCGUCAGGAAACGUGCAGAAACGCAGAUAACAUCGAUAAUUUAAAAUAAUCGCGAGAACAUCUGGUCCUCGUCUUCUCGGAAAUGUUAGCGGCAGCAGUAGCUUAAAAUGACUCAGAAACCAUAAAUGAGGGCUACAUCAUGAUAUUUUCUCGAUUUGUAACAGGCCAUUGUUUACGACGAUGCUAGCCCCUUCUUCAUUGUCUCAGUUUGCUUAGGACCGCGAGAUACCAGGAGUCGCGAUAAACGCAUGAACAUAAUAAUCGAGAAAGGAAGAGCAUGUUCCCUUUGCUGAAUGAAUCACAUCGUCUGACAAGAGUAUACGCUUUAAAUUAUCAUAACCUCACCGGAUUGAUAUUUUUUCUCCUUUUAUCCGCGCGUAUUUAUUAUGUCGCGAUAAGCUGUUUGGAAAAUUUAUUGAAAAGAUUAGAGCGCUAUAGAACUGCUGAACAGCAGUUCUUACGAAUUCGAAGAGACGUCGAUAUCAUUGAUAUUACAAACGAUGCAAUCCAACCUAAUCGUAUUUACUUAAUCGACUCGAGGGAAAUAGGGAAAUUAGCUACUGUUCGUAAUCGCGAUUGUUAAUCACCUAUUUCUUCCGUAUAUGAUUAUAAAGAUUAACUGUCGUGAUCCAUGUUCAUCGAUCUUUUUAAUCGUUCUUAGCAAAUUAGUAAUAAAGGCCAAAUGUGAGAAA